GAAAAAGGAGUAAAUUAAUGUUGGAGUUGUAAAUUACAAGAAGAACUUGUAAACAAAACAAAAACUUAGAAAAAUGACAUAGAACUUGUAAAUUGACAUUAAGUGUGAAAUGAAACAAAAAAAAGUGUAAAUCACACAUAAUACUAGUAAAUUGAUGGGGAAAUGGGUAAAUUAAUGUUGGAGUUGUAAAUUGCAAGAAGAACUUGUAAACAAAACAAAAACUUAGAAAAAUGACAUAGAACUUGUAAAUUGACAUUAAGUGUGAAAUGAAACAAAAAAA
RNAcentral lists this long non-coding RNA (280 nucleotides) under Citrus sinensis (sweet orange). RNAcentral's name for it is "long non-coding RNA (CSIN_LNC004202)". The record is from RNAcentral. Lineage: Eukaryota; Viridiplantae; Streptophyta; Magnoliopsida; Sapindales; Rutaceae.